Long non-coding RNA from Dreissena polymorpha, 2733 nucleotides. RefSeq lists it as uncharacterized. The record is from RefSeq and is a predicted model, not a curated record. NCBI's taxonomy places the organism in Eukaryota, Metazoa, Mollusca, Bivalvia, Myida, Dreissenidae. The transcript has 3 exons.
CAUGAUUGAAUUUUCUUGUUAUUUAUUGUACUGAUUUCAAUGUUUUCUUCAUUUAGGCACCUUUUCGCAGAGAGUCCAUUAUUUAUUAUUGACCUAAGAGAGUCAAAGAAACUCAUUGUCUGUGCAACAUGCCGUAUGAUGGAAGAGAGUACUGGCAGUGUGAAGGAUGCUAUAAAUGGUUCCACCCGGAAUGUGUUGGUGAGUCAGUGGAACCAGAAAAGUACACAUGCGCAUCAUGUUCACACAAGAAAACCAGCCCAGAGUAUAUGUGUAAAGAUGACAGAUCCUUAGGGAAGCCAAUUACUAUGUGAGUGAAUAGUUUCCAAAGGACGUUGCCGACCGACGCAGAAGCUUGAUGCCUGCCUUCCGGAAAGCUCGCGCUGAUGGCAAGAGAUGCUUUUCUCAGCUAUGACACCCUGUGCAUAGACGGUGUUCCGGUGCGGCCUGACAGCGCAACAACGAAUAACAGCAGCGGUAGCAGCAAGUAGGGGCUUCCGGAGGCUAACAUAAAAUUUCUCUCUUGGAACGUUCAAGAACUUACAAAUAUUUAACUUAGUCAUGACGACUUAGUAAAUUAUAUUCGUAAAUUUUAUAAUUAUUUUAUUGUUUGAAACAUGGCCAAAUAACUAUUCUUCUUAUGACAUCGUUGGUCAUGAAUGUUAACUUUUUAACAGGGAAUUUCAGAAUAAAAAAUCUAAACGAUGUAGUGGCGGAAUAGCAAUUAAUGUUUAGCAAUCCUUUGCGAAGGGAAUUUCUUUUGUAAAAAGUUAUCAUGAUGCUAUUGCGUGGUUUAAAUUAGAUAAGGUAUUUUUUUAGUUUAACGGACGAUAUUUCCCUGGCUGUGUGUACAUCUGGCAUUAGCUAUUCCCUAUUAAUAAUAUUUGAAAUGUUAAUUUAUUUGAUAUUUCAUAAAAAAUAUAUAUCAAUUUCAAACAAAUGGCAAAGUUUCUUUAGCGGGCGAUUGGAACGCUCGAGUAGGAAAUAAGCGAGAUUUUAUUGUUUGGGACCUCACAAUUAAUCCCAUAAAUGACCAGUCUUACGCAAGUGACUCUCAACUUACCCGGAAUUCAAUGGAAUCAAAAACUAAUUGUUUUGGUAAGAAGCUUGACAUGUGCAUAUCCACGUGGUUCUAGUGUCAUUGAAUACGUGUUACCACGUAAAGAAAACUUUAAUCUUAUAACACGUUUUAACGUUGACUCUUAUUCAGUAUGGUCAGAUCAUGGUGCACUGCUAUUUAAUAUAAAGUGUAAUACUGCAUUAUCGAGAAGUGUUAAAUGAAUCUAGUACAACACGUAUUAGUUGGUUGAAUCAGAAUCGUGACGAAUUUCGACAAAAAAUAAUCUCAAAUUCACAUAUGUUAAACAGUAUUAUCGAUUAUAUCGAUUGUAAUAGCUUUGACAGUAAUGAUUAUUGCUUGGCGAUUUUCUCAAAAGUACUCAGCGAAUCUGGUGAGCCUAGCAUAUGUCCGAUACACCCUGUUCAGGAAAUCCCAACUAGAUUAUGCACAUUAUGUGCCAUUCACCCGUGCAAUUGAAAAUAGUACACCAAAUAUAUAUUACACGUGCGUUGUUUUUGCGCCCAGGCGUGUUGUGUGAGUUAUUUACAAGCCUUUAACUUUACAGUGGUAAAUACUGGCAGAGAGCAAGACAUCGUUGGACAUCGAAGCAAAAUGUGUACAUAUGAUUGCCUUUGCACCAUGGUCAUGUAAUUCCAACUAGAUAUUGCAUAUUGCACGUGCGUUGUUUUUGCGCCGAUGCGUGUUGUGUGAGUUAUUUACAAGCCUUUAACUUUACAGUGGUAAAUACUGGCAGAGGGUAAGACAUCGUUGCACAUCGUUGGUCAUGUAACUCCAACUAGAUAUUGCACAUUGCGCUAUCGGAAAAUAUACAUGUAACACCAAAAGAUGUUGCACAUAUUCUGCUAAUGCCCCGUUGUGUAUUGUUGCACUCAAUCUCAUGCCUCAGACUUGACAAUGGAUUAUACCCGCUCGGGGACAGACAACGUUGCGCGUUUUAGUAUAAUUUAUAUACAUAUAUUGCCAUAAACGCUGUUCAAUUAUUUCAAAAAAGUGCACGAUUCAUGGUUUUGGCACAUAUACAUUUGUAUCUCCGAAUAGACAUGGCGCAUGUGUUGUUUUUGCUCUGAAGCGCAUUGUAUAGCUCCUUCACAUACCUUAAACUUGGCAAAGGUUGAUUCUCGCUCAAAGAAAGACAAUGUUGCAUAUCUCAGUAGAAUUUAUUCACAAUAAUAUUGCGCGCUAUCGAAUAAUAUAGCACCACAUAUUUGUUUCAUGCUCCGUAGUGUAUCGUUGCACUCAUCCACACGCCUUAUACUUGACAACGUAUGAUACUCGCUCGGAAAAAAACGUUUAACGUCUGAGUAUAAUUUAUACACAUUUAUUUUAUAUUUUUACAAAUUCGCUUACGGAAAUCAUAUCCUUCUGCUAACGUUAACCGGUAAUUAAGCGUUCAUAGACCGUUUGUACCUGUGGCCUUCUCGACUCGUGCUUGAAGCAAACACAAAAUAGUUCCCGUAAUAGAUUAAAAACUUGAGAUUUAAAUUUUUUAACGCAUACACAUGGUAACUAAUUUUAUCAUAAUAUCUGAUUUCUAAUAAGAAUCCUUCAUCCGUAUACAAUAUCUUUGUAAACAAUAUUUACUGUAUCAAUCCUCAUUUGAUUGACAUGUAAUAUCUAUUGGUACCGUUAUUUGUGUCAUAUCUAUAUUGAAUACA